GGGUCAUCGCGACUUACCAAACCAUUGCAAACUCCGAAUACCGAGACGGACUGUAUGGGAGACACACGGCGGGUGCUAACGUCCGUCGUGAAAAGGGAAACAACCCAGACCGUCAGCUAAGGUCCCAAAGUUAUGGUUAAGUGGGAAACGAUGUGGGAAGGCUUAGACAGCUAGGAGGUUGGCUUAGAAGCAGCCACCCUUUAAAGAAAGCGUAAUAGCUCACUAGUCGAGUCGGCCUGCGCGGAAGAUGUAACGGGGCUCAAACCAUGCACCGAAGCUACGGGUAUCACCUUUUGGUGAUGCGGUAGAGGAGCGUUCUGUAAGCCUGUGAAGGUGAGUUG
RNAcentral lists this ribosomal RNA (341 nucleotides) under Mycobacterium tuberculosis. Its description in RNAcentral is "partial 23S ribosomal RNA". It matches the Rfam family "Bacterial large subunit ribosomal RNA", at positions 924 to 1263 of the family's 2925-position model. The record is from RNAcentral. Lineage: Bacteria; Bacillati; Actinomycetota; Actinomycetes; Mycobacteriales; Mycobacteriaceae.